AUUGAACGCUGGCGGCAGGCCUAACACAUGCAAGUCGAGCGGAUGAAGGGAGCUUGCUCCUGGAUUCAGCGGCGGACGGGUGAGUAAUGCCUAGGAAUCUGCCUGGUAGUGGGGGAUAACGUCCGGAAACGGGCGCUAAUACCGCAUACGUCCUGAGGGAGAAAGUGGGGGAUCUUCGGACCUCACGCUAUCAGAUGAGCCUAGGUCGGAUUAGCUAGUUGGUGGGGUAAAGGCCUACCAAGGCGACGAUCCGUAACUGGUCUGAGAGGAUGAUCAGUCACACUGGAACUGGGACACGGUCCAGACUCCUACGGGAGGCAGCAGUGGGGAGUAUUGGACAAUGGGCGAAAGCCUGAUCCAGCCAUGCCGCGUGUGUGAAGAAGGUCUUCGGAUUGUAAAGCACGUUAAGUUGGGAGGAAGGGCAGUAAGUUAAUACCUUGCUGUUUUGACGUUACCAACAGAAUAAGCACCGGCUAACUUCGU
This 483-nucleotide ribosomal RNA is filed under the name uncultured bacterium. RNAcentral describes it as "partial 16S ribosomal RNA". It matches the Rfam family "Bacterial small subunit ribosomal RNA", at positions 30 to 506 of the family's 1533-position model. The record is from RNAcentral.